UGGGGAAUUUUGGACAAUGGGCGCAAGCCUGAUCCAGCCAUGCCGCGUGCAGGAUGAAGGCCUUCGGGUUGUAAACUGCUUUUGUACGGAACGAAAAGGUGCCUUCUAAUAAAGGGCGCUUAUGACGGUACCGUAAGAAUAAGCACCGGCUAACUACGUGCCAGCAGCCGCGGUAAUACGUAGGGUGCGAGCGUUAAUCGGAAUUACUGGGCGUAAAGCGUGCGCAGGCGGUUUUGUAAGACAGAGGUGAAAUCCCCGGGCUCAACCUGGGAACUGCCUUUGUGACUGCAAGGCUGGAGUGCGGCAGAGGGGGAUGGAAUUCCGCGUGUAGCAGUGAAAUGCGUAGAUAUGCGGAGGAACACCGAUGGCGAAGGCAAUCCCCUGGGCCUGCACUGACGCUCAUGCACGAAAGCGUGGGGAGCAAACA
RNAcentral lists this ribosomal RNA (427 nucleotides) under uncultured bacterium. Its description in RNAcentral is "bacterial SSU rRNA". It matches the Rfam family "Bacterial small subunit ribosomal RNA", at positions 355 to 774 of the family's 1533-position model. The record is from RNAcentral.